This is a long non-coding RNA of Strigops habroptila (Kakapo), 939 nucleotides long. RefSeq lists it as uncharacterized. NCBI's taxonomy places the organism in Eukaryota, Metazoa, Chordata, Aves, Psittaciformes, Psittacidae. The transcript is spliced from 3 exons. The record is from RefSeq and is a predicted model, not a curated record.
CGUACAGAGAACUUCAGGCACUGGAACAGUCAGAAGAGAAGAAAACAUACUGAUAUGAUUUAACUUCAGUCAUAACUCACGCACCCAAAAUGUAACAAAAGAACAACGCCAAGAACAAACUCCAGCAGCUACUGAUAAAAUUCGAAUGUAACUGCCACUGUGAAAAAGAAAGUUGUAAUAAGUCAGAAUGUUUAGAAGACUAAAGGGUGCAACGAAGCAAAUGAUAGUGUUCUCUGCGUUUGGUCAGCAGAAUGGGAGUCUGAUGGAGUAACAGAGGCUGGAAGCCAUGGGAUCAAAGGGAAGUAGGAUCUUCUCUGUAGUCAGUGAAGUCGCCAAGCUCAGGAAGAGAGACUAAAAGAAGAUGUAUGGGGACUCUCCUGUCUUUGUGGAGAAGAGCGAUGUGCCCUAUGAAGCUGAGUGAACAAGCUACCCUGCCAGCACAGGAAAACCUGGGCUGGGAAGAGAAAUCCAAGGGGAAAAUCGCUUCAGUCAUGGCUGGCCUCAGAGGGUUAAUCACAGAGGUGCAGGAGGCAUAUGGCCAAGAUCAAGUGGAAACCUGCGGAGACGAAUGCUGAACACACAGAUAAAAUCUCUGUAUUGCACGUAAUCCUGUCUUUUCUCUGAUUUGCCUGGGAAUCAUCUUGCAGUGCCCCUCUGGUGGGGGCUAUGCCACAUAGAAGUGCUCGUGUUCAGCUGUUUUGUGUAAUUCAUCCUUCACGGUCCGUGUUACUUAGUUUGUAGUUUUGUACAAGACCAAUUUAAAAAUAAACACAAGCCUUGCAGAGACCUGGCGCAGUCUGGUGUGAACAUGUUGCAGCAGCUGAGUUCCAGUCCCCUGAUAUUAAAGAAACUUCGUAUUCUACCAACACUUCCCCUGGAAAUCAUACAAAUGAAUUAAGAAGCUUUCGAAAUAAACUGUUUCUUAAACCCGAGAGCAAG